UACAGAGGUGGCAAGCGUUGUUCGGAAUUACUGGGCGUAAAGGGCGCGUAGGCGGUCGCCUAAGUCGGACGUGAAAUCCCCAAGCUUAACUUGGGAACUGCGUCUGAUACUGGGUGACUUGAGUUCGGGAGAGGAAUGUGGAAUUCCAGGUGUAGCGGUGAAAUGCGUAGAUAUCUGGAGGAACACCGGUGGCGAAGGCGGCAUCCUGGACCAAUACUGACGCUGAGGAGCGAAAGCCAGGGGAGCAAACGGG
This 253-nucleotide ribosomal RNA is filed under the name uncultured bacterium. RNAcentral's name for it is "partial 16S ribosomal RNA". It matches the Rfam family "Bacterial small subunit ribosomal RNA", at positions 524 to 776 of the family's 1533-position model. The record is from RNAcentral.